AUGCAGAAUGAAGCAUUUUCCUCUCGUCACAAAAAAGGUAUGACAACUCACAAUGCUGAGGAGAUUCAGUUGGUCGACAUAGUUACUGAUCUCGAAUUGGUGUGGGACGGGCUCGAGCCACGAGGUAUAGCCUCUCGCUAUGUCACCUCCCCGAGUGAUGCGUUCCGGAUCAUCGGGCACGGUAGAGCCGGCAAAACAGGCUGA
Non-coding RNA from Vicia faba (fava bean), 204 nucleotides. The record is from the annotation of a GenBank genome assembly. Lineage: Eukaryota; Viridiplantae; Streptophyta; Magnoliopsida; Fabales; Fabaceae.